UAACAUCAUCUGAUAUCAACUGGAACAAAGCUGAAAUGGCUGCCUGACCUGACUUAAAAAUUGGAUGGCAGUACAUCAGACUAGAAGAUUACAAGUAUUGAGGUGGACAAAAUGAAACCUGAGCCUACCAAAGCUGACAGAUUGCACAAGAAACACAUAAAUGCAGAUUGGAAGAUUCAUUCUCUGGAAAGUAGAAAAGGGCAUGUUACAUACUGUUAUCACUGCCAUGACAGAAACCAUAUUGAGGAGCUGGUCCACCUGUAGGAAGAAUUGCGCUAUUGGUUGGAGCAGCACUAUUACCCAGCCAUACACCAGCACUUAGUUUGUCAUAGGGAGCAUUUCUGAGCAGUUAUGGAGACCACUAACUAUGCAGUUGUUGCAGUGAAACUUGCACCAGUGUGUUUUCUGUGGAGAUAAAGAGAUAGUGUCCAGCAAUGAAGACCCAACUCAAGAUCUGACCUUGUAAGGCCAAUAUGAAAUAACUGUGUGGGAAAAUGGGAAAAACCUGCAGUCAGGAAUGCACGGAAAUCAUCAAAAGAACAGUGUUAAAUUAAUCUUGAAUAACUUGACAUUUAUUUUGUUUGACAUAUUUAUUCAUGGUGCAGUGAAAACAUUCUUUUUUCUCAUGGUUAUUUAAAUUUAGAAUUGAUAGGAGGGAACAUCACUAUGUAGUUUCAUGUUCAUAGUCAGAUCAA
This is a long non-coding RNA of Mya arenaria, 695 nucleotides long. RefSeq lists it as uncharacterized. Lineage: Eukaryota; Metazoa; Mollusca; Bivalvia; Myida; Myidae. The transcript has 3 exons. The record is from RefSeq and is a predicted model, not a curated record.